This 267-nucleotide long non-coding RNA is filed under the name Physcomitrium patens. RNAcentral's name for it is "long non-coding RNA (PPAT_LNC012988)". Lineage: Eukaryota; Viridiplantae; Streptophyta; Bryopsida; Funariales; Funariaceae. The record is from RNAcentral.
GCGCGAUCACAACAUACACAUAAUUGGAACAAAGCAAAUAAGUAAAUUUUUCCAAUUUCCACUUAGCUCCUAUCUCUAUAUGAAUACGAGUAGCUACAUACAGUGUCCAAGUGAACACCAUUCCUUCCAGUGUCACUACCGUUGCAUACAAUAAUCGUUUAGACAUAUAUGUGAGGUGCCAAUACAAUCCUAACUGCCUCACCACAAAACGGAACCAUUCCACGAGUUUUGGUGAAAUUACCUCAGUAGUGCAUCAACCUUGGCUCC